Molecule: long non-coding RNA, 1079 nt
Organism: Bufo bufo (common toad)
Lineage: Eukaryota; Metazoa; Chordata; Amphibia; Anura; Bufonidae
Exons: 3
Source: RefSeq, a predicted model, not a curated record
CUAGAGAGUAUGUCUCAUAGGAACGUCAUAGGACGGCGCAAGAAGAAACAAGACGCAUUAUGGGUCCCAAAAGCUUAUAAGAAUAUAUGGUUCCUGAUCUCUCCUCCUCCUUUCUUUGGCCACUCUUCACCUGAUCUUUGGAAGACUGUGGAAUAUAAAUCCAGGGAAUACUGUAUAACUUUACACAGACUUAAUGCAAACCUCUGAACUGACUCAUCCUAAAAAGGGGUUCAUCCAUGAACAUCACUGAAUGAAUAAAUGUGUGGAAAAAAGAACAACUCUCGAAAAUUUAACAUCACUGCUUGCAGGAAUACAAGUUCAAAUGGUUCAAGAAUUCUGGUUUCCAGGACAUUACAAACAAAAUUACCAUUUUUUAACUUUGAUACAUGAUGCAAUUUAAUUGCUGGUGAAGAACAGGAAGUUAAACUUUGAUAAAUGUUCCCGCUAUGCAAAACCUUUCUUGAAAACAGCUCAUCUGAUAACAUCAAGGUACAAUAAAUUAUUCAACCAGAGAAGAACACAGAGUGAGACGAAAUCUCUAAAGGUGAUCAGCAUUAUACUGGGAUGACAAGAAGACACUGUUAUUUGUGGAAAUGAAUGCCAUACUAACUAGUUCAUGGGCUGAGCUGUUCAAUAGAAGCUCUUUCAAUGUCAUAAGACUUUCAGUUAAAAGAAAUGCAGGCAGGGAUUGAGGGAUGGGAGUUUAUAUUGCUCUUAUACAAACUUUAUAAUUGUGCUACCCCUGUUGAAAAAUGAAAAAGUGUCCCUGUUUUAAAACUAACAUUAAAGAGUGCUAUGUUUCCGAAAUUGGCAAAGUAGACACGUCCCACAUUUUCAGAGUUGUCUUCAUUCAAAGGAAAACUUUCCGUUCAUUAGAUAAUAGUUCACGUUCUGUAAGAUGCUAUAAACUUCUUCUUUAUCUGUGAUGUCAUUAACAAGCACCAGUUCACGGUCUGCGCCUUGGAAGCACCUGACAAUAAUAGAGGUCAGGCGACAAACUGCAAUGAAAGGGAUAAUUUCCUUUAUGUGGGUUAUCCCCUACAUUUUUAAAACCAGCACCUGGAUCUGAAUACUUUUGU